GGAAUAUUGGACAAUGGGGGAAACCCUGAUCCAGCAACGCCGCGUGGAGGAUGAAGGUCUUCGGAUUGUAAACUCCUGUUAGGGGGGACGAAGGGUCGCUGGUGAAUAUCCAGCGAACUUGACGGUACCCCCCGAGGCAGCCCCGGCUCACUCUGGGCCCGCAGCCGCGGUAAUACCGAGGGGGCAAGCGUUAUUCGGAGUUAUUGGGCGUAAAGGGCGCGUAGGCGGCCCUGUAAGUCUUGGGUGAAAUCCCUCAGCUCAACUGAGGAACUGCCUCGGAUACUGCAGGGCUUGAGGCCGGGAGAGGGUAGUGGAAUUCCCAGUGUAGCGGUGAAAUGCGUAGAUAUUGGGAGGAACACCGGUGGCGAAGGCGGCUACCUGGACCGGUUCUGACGCUGAUGCGCGAAAGCGUGGGGAGCAAA
This 422-nucleotide ribosomal RNA is filed under the name uncultured bacterium. RNAcentral's name for it is "bacterial SSU rRNA". It matches the Rfam family "Bacterial small subunit ribosomal RNA", at positions 358 to 772 of the family's 1533-position model. The record is from RNAcentral.